AUAAAGUGUGAGGUUAUAGAAUCAGUAUUCUGUUUUGCUUGGCUAGUAGCUACAAGAUUUGUGGUGGAGUCUUCAAGCAGGAAGAAGACAUGUUGUGACGUGUAAAGCAGCAGGAAGGGUUUCCAAGGAGCUCUGCACCAUGUGUCUCUUGGACUAUAAAAGGUCAAGCAGGGGGGAAACCCGAAAGAGCGAGAUGCAAUCUGUAAAAGUUUCUGGGGAGUGUGCAACAGCUGACCACAAUGAGCCUACCAAAACCUGAAAGACAAGGUCCAGAAUGUUCCCGUUUUAACAACGUCCAGCUUCA
Molecule: long non-coding RNA, 304 nt
Organism: Austrofundulus limnaeus
Lineage: Eukaryota; Metazoa; Chordata; Actinopteri; Cyprinodontiformes; Rivulidae
Exons: 3
Source: RefSeq, a predicted model, not a curated record